Molecule: ribosomal RNA, 622 nt
Filed under: uncultured beta proteobacterium
Lineage: Bacteria; Pseudomonadati; Pseudomonadota; Betaproteobacteria
Description: partial 16S ribosomal RNA
Source: RNAcentral
UUGGGAGCUCUCCCAUAUGGUCGACCUGCAGGCGGCCGCGAAUUCACUAGUGAUUCGUAUUACCGCGGCUGCUGGCACGUAGUUAGCCGGUGCUUAUUCUUCCAGUACCGUCAUCCCCACCCCGUAUUCAGGGAUGGGAUUUCUUCCCGGACAAAAGAGCUUUACAACCCGAAGGCCUUCUUCACUCACGCGGCAUUGCUGGAUCAGGGUUGCCCCCAUUGUCCAAAAUUCCCCACUGCUGCCUCCCGUAGGAGUCUGGGCCGUGUCUCAGUCCCAGUGUGGCUGGUCGUCCUCUCAGACCAGCUACUGAUCGUCGCCUUGGUAGGCCUUUACCCCACCAACUAGCUAAUCAGAUAUCGGCCGCUCCACGAGCAUGAGGUCUUGCGAUCCCCCACUUUCCCCCUCGGGGCGUAUGCGGUAUUAGCUAGUCUUUCGACUAGUUAUCCCCCACUCCAGGGCACGUUCCGAUAUGUUACUCACCCGUUCGCCACUCGCCGCCAGACCGAAGUCCGCGCUGCCGUUCGACUUGCAUGUGUAAGGCAUGCCGCCAGCGUUCAAUCUGAGCCAUGAUCAAACUCUAAUCGAAUUCCCGCGGCCGCCAUGGCGGCCGGGAGCAUGCGAC